GACGAACGCUGGCGGCGUGCUUAACACAUGCAAGUCGAACGGAAGGGCCCUGCUUUUGUGGGGUGCUCGAGUGGCGAACGGGUGAGUAACACGUGAGUAACCUGCCCUUGACUUUGGGAUAACUUCAGGAAACUGGGGCUAAUACCGGAUAGGAGCUCCUGCUGCAUGGUGGGGGUUGGAAAGUUUCGGCGGUUGGGGAUGGACUCGCGGCUUAUCAGCUUGUUGGUGGGUAGUGGCUUACCAAGGCUUUGACGGGUAGCCGGCCUGAGAGGGUGACCGGCCACAUUGGGACUGAGAUACGGCCCAGACUCCUACGGGAGGCAGCAGUGGGGAAUAUUGCACAAUGGGCGGAAGCCUGAUGCAGCAACGCCGCGUGCGGGAUGACGGCCUUCGGGUUGUAAACCGCUUUCGCCUGUGACGAAGCGUGAGUGACGGUAAUGGGUAAAGAAGCACCGGCUAACUACGUG
RNAcentral lists this ribosomal RNA (467 nucleotides) under uncultured bacterium. RNAcentral's name for it is "partial 16S ribosomal RNA". It matches the Rfam family "Bacterial small subunit ribosomal RNA", at positions 28 to 507 of the family's 1533-position model. The record is from RNAcentral.